Molecule: long non-coding RNA, 977 nt
Organism: Parus major (Great Tit)
Lineage: Eukaryota; Metazoa; Chordata; Aves; Passeriformes; Paridae
Exons: 3
Source: RefSeq, a predicted model, not a curated record
UCCCCCAAAUGUCUGUCCCCAAAUGUCUGUCCCCAAAUGUCUGUCCUCUAAAAUGACUGUCCCCAAAUGUCUGUCCCCUAAAUGUCCCCUAAAUGUCCCCCAAAUGUCUGUCCCCUAAAAUGUCUGUCCCCAAAUGUCUGUCCUCUAAAAUGACUGUCCCCUAAAACGUCUGUCCCCUAAAUGACCCCCAAAUGUCUGUCCCCAAAUGUCUGUCCCCUAAAUGUCCCCUAAAAUGACUGUCCCCUAAAUGUCUGUCCCCAAAUGUCUGUCCCCAAAUGUCUGUCCCCUAGCAUUAACUCCCAGCCCCCAGCUCUCCUGCCCCAGGCUUGCCCCUCUCAAUAUUCUGCUGAGCACUUUGAAAACUCGCUGCAGAAACUUCCUGUGGUUCUUGGAGUGGUUCUGAACCUAAUUUUAGCUGGUUGGCAGCAGCGUGGUGAGAACCAAGAGCAGCCCCUGUGGAUGUCCCUCCUCAGAAACCCCCCCUGCCAUUCCCUGCACACAAACACCAUCAAGCAGUUCAAUCUUCACAGAAAUGAGGCCUCUAAAAGCCACAGCCCAAACGAAAGGAGAGCCAGGGCAAGCAACCUCAGCUCUGCCAGGAAUUCGAGUGAAGGCACAAAAAAGCACAAAUGUUUUCCUGGUCAGGUCCCGAGUCAGUCUGGAGACUGCAGAGGCUGAGAGCUCCAUUUCCCACUUCAUUAACGAAAUGAUGGAGCAAGGAAUGGAGGAGUCAGCACCCAACCCUGAGAGAAACGGGACAGCAGCAAAAAGCAGCGGCCUCUGCGACUCCCAGAAGGGAAUUAACCUGCACAAAGGUGAUUGCUGAAGUUUUGAAAAGCCAGGUCAGCAGCAACCACAAAGCCCAGAGAGAACUGAGAUAUAUUUGGUGAAAAUUCAUCUUUUUCUUGUGUGUGUUUUUUGGUUUGUGUUAGGCUUUUGUGGUCAUUUUUUAUAAAAGGAUUUGAGUAGUAAGGUGA